UUUGCUGGACCUUGUUCUCUUUGCAGAUUGAGAAAACGGCCUGUAAAGUCCUUGAGGGGAGGCCUGCUGUAAACACGAGCGUCUUGACUACCGCAUUAUUGCAGACAGCGCUGUGGAGCCUUCACCUUCAAUACAUGGAGCCCCACACACAGCAUCAGGCCAUUUGCUAGAUUGGAUGCCACUUUUGGUGACAGGUCAGGGAAAGACACUGGAUCUGAUGCAGACUGACAGGUCCGUAAAUUUGGUUUCUAAUUUUAUGUAUUUAUUUCUUUUAAAGAAAAGAGGGAGAGAGGGAAUACUCAGAGCCAUGAAAUCAUUAAAACCAAUUCCCUUUCUCUCCCCGAGCCCUCCCUCUCUGGAGUAUGUGUGUGAAACAAUCUUCACAGCUCCUGAGCCCUCCAAUGGUAUCGAUCCAGAUGUGGAAAUUGGUAUUGACUGCUGCUGCUGCUCGGCGCACUUCCCCGGCUUUUAAAGACACAGCGUAUAGGAUACCAUGUGCCCCUGGUGGAGAGGUUUUUACAUGCCCAUAGCUACUUAUCCAUUCCUGAAACCAUCCUGUCUGCGUUCUUGAAGGGUGGGCCAAGCCGGCAGCCUCAGCUGCACUGGAAACCCAGCCCAGGGCUCUUCUGUUUCUCUGUUGCUUCUGCCUACAGACAAGCUCAUCUGCUUCCAGCCCAUUGCAGGAAAAAUCACGUCUUUCCUUCUGGACCACACUGAGCGUGGAGCUGGGUUGCCUUCAGUUCGGUUGAUCUUCCGGUGAUGGCAGCAACUCAUGUAGUGUUUCACCAGGAUGUGUCUGCAGAGAAGAUUUUCCAUUGAGAAAAAUGCAUAGUCGGAGCUGUAUUUUAGAAAGGUCACUGGAGCGGCAUUGUGAAGGACAGGUGGAUUCCAGAGUGAGGAGCUGAGACUGAAGUCAGAGGUUGCUUCUACGAUCAUCGUGUGCGAUAUUGAGACAUAAAAUGUAUUGAUUCAAGUGACAGCCAUGAAGAGAAAAUGGUCACAGCAAACACUACGGUAGCUUGGAUGGCUGGGUAGAUGGUGACCUCACCAGAGGCAAAGGAAUCCAAAAGAGUAGAACAGUUUGCAUAGCCAAUGUGAGGAGUGGGGUAGAGAAAGUGGAGUGAACAGUGAGUUUUCCUUUUAAAAUAUUUCCUUGGGAAUACCUUCGAAGAUUGGAACUGAGAUGUGCAGAAGGCUUGAUCGUACCUUAUUGGACAGUGUAAACAUUGCCCUAAGGGGAUAGGAUCAAGACCUUAAGAGAUGGAGCUAUUCUUUGGUACUAACAACUGAAUUGGUCAUAUAGACAGCAGGGAAUUCAGAAUUUGGUAAAUUGGAACAUGCAUGACCAGUCACUACAUGAGAUCAGUGUCAAGUGGUGGACCCAGGGUUCAGAUGGACAGUUGGACAGCACUAACUGAGGACAGUGGAGAAGCAGCACAUACAGGUGACCGGUAGA
This is a non-coding RNA of Peromyscus maniculatus bairdii (prairie deer mouse), 1456 nucleotides long. NCBI's taxonomy places the organism in Eukaryota, Metazoa, Chordata, Mammalia, Rodentia, Cricetidae. The record is from RefSeq and is a predicted model, not a curated record.